CGCUCAGAAGCUAACAGGUCUCAGCAUUAGCCUUUUAAGCUAAACCUUGGUGACUGCCAAUCACCCUCAGCGA
This 73-nucleotide transfer RNA is filed under the name Ophisternon infernale. RNAcentral describes it as "tRNA-Lys". Lineage: Eukaryota; Metazoa; Chordata; Actinopteri; Synbranchiformes; Synbranchidae. The record is from RNAcentral.